This 1342-nucleotide unclassified non-coding RNA is filed under the name Homo sapiens (human). RNAcentral's name for it is "killer cell immunoglobulin like receptor, two Ig domains and long cytoplasmic tail 4 (ENSG00000284013.2, ENSG00000284365.1)". The record is from RNAcentral. Lineage: Eukaryota; Metazoa; Chordata; Mammalia; Primates; Hominidae.
AGAAGCUGCACCAUGUCCAUGUCACCCACGGUCAUCAUCCUGGCAUGUCUUGGGUUCUUCUUGGACCAGAGUGUGUGGGCACACGUGGGUGGUCAGGACAAGCCCUUCUGCUCUGCCUGGCCCAGCGCUGUGGUGCCUCAAGGAGGACACGUGACUCUUCGGUGUCACUAUCGUCGUGGGUUUAACAUCUUCACGCUGUACAAGAAAGAUGGGGUCCCUGUCCCUGAGCUCUACAACAGAAUAUUCUGGAACAGUUUCCUCAUUAGCCCUGUGACCCCAGCACACGCAGGGACCUACAGAUGUCGAGGUUUUCACCCGCACUCCCCCACUGAGUGGUCGGCACCCAGCAACCCCCUGGUGAUCAUGGUCACAGGUCUAUAUGAGAAACCUUCGCUUACAGCCCGGCCGGGCCCCACGGUUCGCGCAGGAGAGAACGUGACCUUGUCCUGCAGCUCCCAGAGCUCCUUUGACAUCUACCAUCUAUCCAGGGAGGGGGAAGCCCAUGAACUUAGGCUCCCUGCAGUGCCCAGCAUCAAUGGAACAUUCCAGGCCGACUUCCCUCUGGGUCCUGCCACCCACGGAGAGACCUACAGAUGCUUCGGCUCUUUCCAUGGAUCUCCCUACGAGUGGUCAGACCCGAGUGACCCACUGCCUGUUUCUGUCACAGACUCUGAUGAACAAGACCCUCAGGAGGUGACAUACGCACAGUUGGAUCACUGCAUUUUCACACAGAGAAAAAUCACUGGCCCUUCUCAGAGGAGCAAGAGACCCUCAACAGAUACCAGCGUGUGUAUAGAACUUCCAAAUGCUGAGCCCAGAGCGUUGUCUCCUGCCCAUGAGCACCACAGUCAGGCCUUGAUGGGAUCUUCUAGGGAGACAACAGCCCUGUCUCAAACCCAGCUUGCCAGCUCUAAUGUACCAGCAGCUGGAAUCUGAAGGCGUGAGUCUCCAUCUUAGAGCAUCACUCUUCCUCACACCACAAAUCUGGUGCCUGUCUCUUGCUUACCAAUGUCUAAGGUCCCCACUGCCUGCUGCAGAGAAAACACACUCCUUUGCUUAGCCCACAAUUCUCUAUUUCACUUGACCCCUGCCCACCUCUCCAACCUAACUGGCUUACUUCCUAGUCUACUUGAGGCUGCAAUCACACUGAGGAACUCACAAUUCCAAACAUACAAGAGGCUCUCUCUUAACACGGCACUUAGACACGUGCUGUUCCACCUUCCCUCGUGCUGUUCCACCUUUCCUCAGACUAUUUUUCAGCCUUCUGGCAUCAGCAAACCUUAUAAAAUUUUUUUGAUUUCAGUGUAGUUCUCUCCUCUUCAAAUAAACAUGUCUGCCUUCA